CCCUUAGAUGUUCUGGGCCGCACGCGUGCUACACUGAGUGGAUCAGCGGGUCAGGUUGCGCGAAAGUGUUUCCUAAUCUUGAAAUCCGCUCGUGAUGGGGAUUGACGGUUGCAAUUUUCCGUCAUGAACGAGGAAUACCUUGUAAGCGCGGGUCAUCAUCCCGCGCUGAAUACGUCCCUGCCCUUUGUACACACCGUCCGUCGCUCCUACCGAUUGAGUGGUCCGGUGAGGCUUUGGGAUCUGAGCGGAAAGAGCGUUUCGCUGUUUCUGCUCGGAAAACUCAGUCGAACCUUAUCAUUUAGAGGAAGGAGGAGUCGUAACA
RNAcentral lists this ribosomal RNA (322 nucleotides) under uncultured eukaryote. RNAcentral's name for it is "partial 18S ribosomal RNA". It matches the Rfam family "Eukaryotic small subunit ribosomal RNA", at positions 1470 to 1796 of the family's 1831-position model. The record is from RNAcentral.